Long non-coding RNA from Apis cerana (Asiatic honeybee), 2190 nucleotides. RefSeq lists it as uncharacterized. The record is from RefSeq and is a predicted model, not a curated record. Lineage: Eukaryota; Metazoa; Arthropoda; Insecta; Hymenoptera; Apidae.
UCUUCGCUAAUUUUAAAUAUUUAAUGUUUAAACUUUUCGAAAAAAGAAGAAUAUACAGAUUUAAAAAUUUUUUUUUUCGGAAAUCGAGGAAUUAUGAAUUCGAAAUUUUGUCUCAAAAAUUCAAUUUCUUGAAAAUCUCCUAUUAAAUUACAUAUUCCAUAAACCUUUCAUCGACGAUCUAAAAUCUACUUCACGAAGAAUAAGAAUCUUAUUUACAACAAUACUUCUCCACCUACUCGAGCGACGUCCAAUAUUCAAAUUUUAAAUAAUUUUUUUUUUGAAAAUCUAAAUGAAUCGCGACACCCUUUUCCAACAUUCAAAUGUUCUCUCUUUGUCUAGAAAAAUAGAAAGCUUGCACUAAAAAAUGCCUAUUAAAAUUCAUAAACCCAUAAAAUACUUCACGAAGAAAAUAAGAAUCUUACUCAACAGUACUUCUCCACCCACUCAAACGCUUUAAACGGGUCCAAAGGAGUGACUUACCCAACUAACUAACACCGGUUUGAAACAACAAACAAAUUCGUGCAUCAAGGGAAAAUCAGCGGAGAGAGGCACGCGUCCGUCCCUCCCCGAUGCGAUUUCGAGCACGAUCGAAAUUCAAAGAGGCACGGGGUAAUGGAGCGUGGAUGGACGAGGCGGGGCGCAGAGGACGCGAAACAAUGUCGACGUUGCGGACCGGUUGCGUAGCCGAUCCUCCUCGCGUAUUUCAGACACGUACUCACUUACAUAGGAAACGUCGUUCCAGCCACGAGUUUUUUAUUCGUUCUUUAUCUUUUCCUCUCUCGCGUCCCACCGCGCCUCCCCUCCCCUUCCCUCGCUCCCCUCUCCCCGAGGCUGCCCGCCUCCUUUAAUAAUUGUCCGAUGGCUCUCAAUAUUCGAGCAGCGAAACUCUCGAUUCUAGCUUUUUCGUCGUCGUGCAACUACGACUACGAAUUAUUCGAUCGUGUAUCAUUCUUUGGUUAUAGUUGGAGCAUUCGUCGAAUUGGAAAUGAAACGUUAACGCUUGCUACGUGGGUAAAUAGCAGGCGAAAAAUAAAAGAGGAAAAAGAUAUCCGACUAUUUAAAAUGCUGGCUAAUAUUCUACGAGGCGAUGAGAAAGUUGACGCACUGUUACGACCUCUCGGCGAAGAUUAAAUAUUUCUUUCUUCAGAGAGGAGGAUAGAAAUUGAAAUAUUUUCGUUCGUCCGUUAUUUGACAAAUUGAACGACAGAAAUAUAAACCAUUGCACGCGAUUGGGAGAAUGUUAAGGCGUGUCGAGCGAUUCAUUAUUGAUCAUUCCAUUAAAAACGCGUGACAAGCAGCAAAUUAGUUUCGCUCCACACUUUUUUACGACUCGUGUAUACGCACCGACUCGAAUCAUCCGCGGAUUAAUUAAUCAACGUCCGCGAUAUUCGCGAACGAGUUCUCGUCACCCUGUGAACUGUCCGCACAGAAUUGCACUCUCUUAAUUUUCACGCUCAUUCACAUUUUUGUAUGUACAAUUUCGACGUUAACUCGACGAACAAUUUCUUUAUUUUCUUUUCUCUUCUGUGCACUCGUCAACACUCGAUUAUCGAACACGAUUUUUCGAGCCGUGCAAAACCAUCUUCCCCCUUCUAUCCCUUUCUCCUCGAACGAAUUCGCCGGGUGGGGGGCGGAGAAGAGGGGAAAGUUGAGAUUCGAAGGAUCGGACGUGCGCGGGUGAAAUCGAGUCGCCGUUUCGAGCUGUUUCGCGGCGGCUGUUUCGAACGAUACUGGCGGGCGCAAGUUCGCGCCGAAAGAAGCGCGGCGGACAACGAAGAAAUGGAAGAAGCGUCGCGGCGCGGAGACGAGAAGCGGAGAAGACGCACGUGUUCCGCGCGUAUGUCAGCUGGAGAUGUUUGCCCGCGACCAGCCGAUCCCUCCGACCUCGACGUCACGUCCUCGAUUUCUUCGCGAGAAAUUCCAAUCGUGUUCUAAUGCAACGCCGAGGGAAUAAGAACAGCAUUUUCCUCGGUGGAACUUUGAUCGCGUGGAAUUUUUUUCCAAUGGAAAGAGAAAGUGAAAGCGAUAACCAGGCGAUAAGCAAAGUGGAUUACUUCAAAUUUUAUCUACGGAUAUAUUCGAUGUAGAUAUUAAACGAUGUAAAAAUGUGAUUAUGAAUCGAUACAAUCGAUAUUUCGAUUGAGAUACGAAUUUUUGAAUUAAAAAAAAAAUACAUAAAUGUAACACGAA